Molecule: ribosomal RNA, 452 nt
Filed under: uncultured bacterium
Lineage: Bacteria
Description: bacterial SSU rRNA
Rfam family: Bacterial small subunit ribosomal RNA
Source: RNAcentral
CGGCGAACGGGUGAGUAACACGUGGGUGACCUACCCAGGAGACCGGGAUAACAGUUUGAAAGGGCUGCUAAUACCGGAUGAUACUGCUAUUUUAAGAGGUAGUAGUUAAAGUGUUAUGUAGCGCUUCUGGAUGAGCCCGCGUCCCAUUAGCUAGUUGGUGGGGUAAUGGCCUACCAAGGCUGCGAUGGGUAGCCGGUCUGAGAGGAUGGUCGGCCACACUGGGACUGAGAUACGGCCCAGACUCCUACGGGAGGCAGCAGUGGGGAAUUUUGCGCAAUGGGGGCGACCCUGACGCAGCGACGCCGUGUGGGUGAAGAAGGCCUUCGGGUUGUAAAGCCUUGUUUAGGGGGAAGAUGGUGACGGUACCCCUGGAGGAAGCCCCGGCUAACUACGUGCCAGCAGCCGCGGUAAUACGUAGGGGGCGAGCGUUGUCCGGAAUUAUUGGGCGUAAA